RNAcentral lists this unclassified non-coding RNA (253 nucleotides) under uncultured Pseudobdellovibrionaceae bacterium. Its description in RNAcentral is "uncultured Bdellovibrionaceae bacterium contains 16S-23S intergenic spacer region". It matches the Rfam family "Bacterial small subunit ribosomal RNA", at positions 524 to 776 of the family's 1533-position model. The record is from RNAcentral. Lineage: Bacteria; Pseudomonadati; Bdellovibrionota; Bdellovibrionia; Bdellovibrionales; Pseudobdellovibrionaceae.
UACAGAGGCCUCAAGCGUUGUUCGGAAUUAUUGGGCGUAAAGCGGAUGUAGGUGGUUUCGCAAGUCAGAUGUGAAAGCCCUGGGCUCAACCCAGGAAGUGCGUCUGAUACUGCGUUGCUAGAGUGCGGUAGAGGAGAGUGGAAUUCCAGGUGUAGGGGUGAAAUCCGUAGAUAUCUGGAGGAAUACCAAUGGCGAAGGCAGCUCUCUGGUCCGUAACUGACACUCAGAUCCGAAAGCGUGGGGAGCAAACAGG